Molecule: ribosomal RNA, 720 nt
Filed under: Bacillus sp. KSUM_11
Lineage: Bacteria; Bacillati; Bacillota; Bacilli; Caryophanales; Bacillaceae
Description: bacterial SSU rRNA
Rfam family: Bacterial small subunit ribosomal RNA
Source: RNAcentral
CGCUGGCGGCGUGCCUAAUACAUGCAAGUCGAGCGGACAGAUGGGAGCUUGCUCCCUGAUGUUAGCGGCGGACGGGUGAGUAACACGUGGGUAACCUGCCUGUAAGACUGGGAUAACUCCGGGAAACCGGGGCUAAUACCGGAUGCUUGAUUGAACCGCAUGGUUCAAUUAUAAAAGGUGGCUUUUAGCUACCACUUACAGAUGGACCCGCGGCGCAUUAGCUAGUUGGUGAGGUAACGGCUCACCAAGGCAACGAUGCGUAGCCAACCUGAGAGGGUGAUCGGCCACACUGGGACUGAGACACGGCCCAAACUCCUACGGGAGGCAGCAGUAGGGAAUCUUCCGCAAUGGACGAAAGUCUGACGGAGCAACGCCGCGUGAGUGAUGAAGGUUUUCGGAUCGUAAAACUCUGUUGUUAGGGAAGAACAAGUACCGUUCGAAUAGGGCGGUACCUUGACGGUACCUAACCAGAAAGCCACGGCUAACUACGUGCCAGCAGCCGCGGUAAUACGUAGGUGGCAAGCGUUGUCCGGAAUUAUUGGGCGUAAAGCGCGCGCAGGCGGUUUCUUAAGUCUGAUGUGAAAGCCCCCGGCUCAACCGGGGAGGGUCAUUGGAAACUGGGGAACUUGAGUGCAGAAGAGGAGAGUGGAAUUCCACGUGUAGCGGUGAAAUGCGUAGAGAUGUGGAGGAACACCAGUGGCGAAGGCGACUCUCUGGUCU